Podarcis lilfordi (Lilford's wall lizard) is the source of this 68-nucleotide non-coding RNA. The record is from the annotation of a GenBank genome assembly. NCBI's taxonomy places the organism in Eukaryota, Metazoa, Chordata, Lepidosauria, Squamata, Lacertidae.
GAAAUUCAUUUGGUUAGAAUGUGGUACUGAUAAUGCCAAGGUUGUGGGUUCGAUCCCCAUAUGGGAUG